AGAGUUUGAUCAUGGCUCAGAAUCAACGCUGGCGGCGUGCCUAACACAUGCAAGUCGAACGCGAAAGUCCCGCAAGGGAUCAGUAGAGUGGCAAACGGGUGAGUAACACGUGGGUGACCUGCCUUCGAGCGGGGGAUAACGUCCCGAAAGGGACGCUAAUACCGCAUAACAUGCCGCCUUUUAACAGGUGGACAUCAAAGCUGGGGAUCGCAAGACCUAACACUUGAAGAGGGGCCCGCGCCUGAUUAGCUAGUUGGUGGGGUAAUGGCUCACCAAGGCAACGAUCAGUAUCCGGCCUGAGAGGGCGGACGGACACACUGGGACUGAGACACGGCCCAGACUCCUACGGGAGGCAGCAGUGGGGAAUUGUUCGCAAUGGGCGCAAGCCUGACGACGCAACGCCGCGUGGAGGAUGAAGAUCUUCGGGUCGUAAACUCCUUUCGAUCGAGACGAACGGCUUCCGGGUGAACAAUCCGGGAGAGUGACGGUACCGAGAGAAGAAGCCCCGGCUAACUCCGUGCCAGCAGCCGCGGUAAUACGGGGGGGGCAAGCGUUGUUCGGAAUUACUGGGCGUAAAGGGCUCGUAGGUGGCCAACUAAGUCAGACGUGAAAUCCCUCGGCUUAACCGGGGAACUGCGUCUGAUACUGGAUGGCUUGAGUUUGGGAGAGGGACGCGGAAUUCCAGGUGUAGCGGUGAAAUGCGUAGAUAUCU
RNAcentral lists this ribosomal RNA (712 nucleotides) under uncultured bacterium. RNAcentral describes it as "bacterial SSU rRNA". It matches the Rfam family "Bacterial small subunit ribosomal RNA", at positions 8 to 699 of the family's 1533-position model. The record is from RNAcentral.